RNAcentral lists this transfer RNA (72 nucleotides) under Wiedomys cerradensis (cerrado red-nosed mouse). RNAcentral describes it as "tRNA-Asn". It matches the Rfam family "tRNA". Rfam says of the family: Transfer RNA (tRNA) molecules are approximately 80 nucleotides in length. Lineage: Eukaryota; Metazoa; Chordata; Mammalia; Rodentia; Cricetidae. The record is from RNAcentral.
UAGAUUGAAGCCAGGUAUAGGGUAUCUAGCUGUUAACUAGAAGAAUCAUAGGUUAAAUCCUAUCAGUCUAGG